Molecule: ribosomal RNA, 497 nt
Filed under: uncultured bacterium
Lineage: Bacteria
Description: partial 16S ribosomal RNA
Rfam family: Bacterial small subunit ribosomal RNA
Source: RNAcentral
GAUGAACGCUGGCGGCGUGCCUAAUACAUGCAAGUCGAGCGAACGGACGAUAAGCUUUCUUCUCUGAUGUUAGCGGCUGACGGGUGAGUAACACGUGGAUAACCUACCUAUAAGACUGGGAUAACUUCGUGAAACCGCAUCUAAUACCGGAUAAUAUUUUGAACCGCAUGGUUCAAAAGUGAAAGACGCUCUUGCUGUCACUUAUAGAUGGAUCCGCGCUGCAUUAGCUAGUUGGUAAGGUAACGGCUUACCAAGGCAACGAUGCAUAGCCGACCUGAGAGGGUGAUCGGCCACACUGGAACUGAGACACGGUCCAGACUCCUACGGGAGGCAGCAGUAGGGAAUAUUCCGCAAUGGGCGCAAGCCUGACGGAGCAACGCCGCGUGAGUGAUGAAGGUCUUCGGAUCGUAAAACUCUGUUAUUAGGGAAGAAAAUAUGUGUAAGUAACUGUGCACAUCUUGACGGUACCUAAUCAGAAAGCCACGGCUAACUACGUG